This 1371-nucleotide ribosomal RNA is filed under the name uncultured bacterium. Its description in RNAcentral is "16S ribosomal RNA". It matches the Rfam family "Bacterial small subunit ribosomal RNA", at positions 61 to 1429 of the family's 1533-position model. The record is from RNAcentral.
GUCGAACGGCAGCGGGUCGUAGCAAUACGAUGCCGGCGAGUGGCGCACGGGUGCGUAACACGUAUGCAAUCUACCUCAAACCGGGACAUAACAUUGAGAAAUCGAUGCUAAUAUCCCAUAACACUAUGAUGUGGCAUCACAAUAUAGUUAAAGCUCCGGUGGUUUGAGAUGAGCAUGCGUCCCAUUAGCUAGUUGGCGAGGUAACGGCUCACCAAGGCAACGAUGGGUAGGGGCUCUGAGAGGAUUACCCCCCACACUGGUACUGAGACACGGACCAGACUCCUACGGGAGGCAGCAGUAAGGAAUAUUGGUCAAUGGGCGCAAGCCUGAACCAGCCAUGCCGCGUGCAGGAAGACGGCCUUAUGGGUUGUAAACUGCUUUUAUACGGGAGUAAACGCACGUUCGUGAACGUGUUUGCAAGUACCGUAUGAAUAAGCAUCGGCUAACUCCGUGCCAGCAGCCGCGGUAAUACGGAGGAUGCAAGCGUUAUCCGGAUUCAUUGGGUUUAAAGGGUGCGUAGGCUGGCCAAUAAGUCAGAGGUGAAAAGCAUAGGCUUAACUUAUGCACUGCCUUUGAUACUGUUGGUCUUGAGUGCAAAUGAGGUUGGCGGAAUGUGUAGUGUAGCGGUGAAAUGCUUAGAUAUUACACAGAACACCGAUAGCGAAGGCAGCUAACCAAGAUGCAACAGACGCUGAGGCACGAAAGCGUGGGGAUCAAACAGGAUUAGAUACCCUGGUAGUCCACGCUGUAAACGAUGAUUACUCGCUGUUGGCGAUACACAGUCAGCGGCCAUGCGAAAGCGUUAAGUAAUCCACCUGGGGAGUACGAUCGCAAGAUUGAAACUCAAAGGAAUUGACGGGGGCCCGCACAAGCGGAGGAGCAUGUGGUUUAAUUCGAUGAUACGCGAGGAACCUUACCUGGGCUUGAACGUGUGAUGCUGUAUCGUGAAAGCGGUAUUCCCUUCGGGGCAUCAUGCGAGGUGCUGCAUGGUUGUCGUCAGCUCGUGCCGUGAGGUGUUAGGUUAAGUCCUGUAACGAGCGCAACCCCUAUACUUAGUUACCAGCACGUUAAGGUGGGGACUCUAAGUAAACUGCCUGCGCAAGCAGAGAGGAAGGUGGGGAUGACGUCAAAUCAGCACGGCCCUUACGUCCAGGGCCACACACGUGCUACAAUGGCCGAUACAGAGGGCAGCUACCUGGUGACAGGAUGCAAAUCUCGAAAGUCGGUCUCAGUUCGGAUCGGAGUCUGCAACUCGACUCCGUGAAGUUGGAUUCGCUAGUAAUCGCGCAUCAGCCAUGGCGCGGUGAAUACGUUCCCGGGCCUUGUACACACCGCCCGUCAAGCCAUGGGAGUUGGGGGGACCUGAAGUCG